RNAcentral lists this microRNA precursor (124 nucleotides) under Mustela putorius furo (domestic ferret). Lineage: Eukaryota; Metazoa; Chordata; Mammalia; Carnivora; Mustelidae. The record is from RNAcentral.
CAGUGGUGUUCUUGUCAGGGUUGAUCAGUGGUGCCCCGAAGAGAGGUUUUCUGGGUUUCCGUUUCUUUAACAAGGAUGAAACACACCCAGUGAACCUCUUUUCCUGCAUCAGUCCCCCCUUGGA